This 75-nucleotide transfer RNA is filed under the name Dehalococcoidia bacterium. RNAcentral describes it as "tRNA-Met". It matches the Rfam family "tRNA". From Rfam's summary of the family: Transfer RNA (tRNA) molecules are approximately 80 nucleotides in length. Their secondary structure includes four short double-helical elements and three loops (D, anti-codon, and T loops). Further hydrogen bonds mediate the characteristic L-shaped molecular structure. tRNAs have two regions of fundamental functional importance: the anti-codon, which is responsible for specific mRNA codon recognition, and the 3' end, to which the tRNAs corresponding amino acid is attached (by aminoacyl-tRNA synthetases). tRNAs cope with the degeneracy of the genetic code in two manners: having more than one tRNA (with a specific anti-codon) for a particular amino acid; and 'wobble' base-pairing, i.e. permitting non-standard base-pairing at the 3rd anti-codon position. The record is from RNAcentral. Lineage: Bacteria; Bacillati; Chloroflexota; Dehalococcoidia. RNAcentral also lists the same sequence under 1 other name.
GGGCCUGUAGCUCAGUGGUAGAGCGGUCGGCUCAUAACCGAUUGGUCACAGGUUCGAACCCUGUCGGGCCCACCA